UACGGGGGGGGCAAGCGUUGUUCGGAAUUACUGGGCGUAAAGGGCCAGUAGGCGGCCAACUAAGUCCGACGUGAAAUCCCCAGGCUUAACCUGGGAACUGCGUCGGAUACUGGAUGGCUUGAAUUCGGGAGAGGGAUGCAGAAUUCCGGGUGUAGCGGUGGAAUGCGUAGAGAUCCGGAGGAAGACCGGUGGCGAAGGCGGUCUGCUGGGCAGUUUCUGACACUGAUGCGCGACAGCGUGGGGAGCAAACAGG
This 253-nucleotide ribosomal RNA is filed under the name uncultured bacterium. Its description in RNAcentral is "partial 16S ribosomal RNA". It matches the Rfam family "Bacterial small subunit ribosomal RNA", at positions 524 to 776 of the family's 1533-position model. The record is from RNAcentral.